Molecule: long non-coding RNA, 464 nt
Filed under: Pongo abelii (Sumatran orangutan)
Lineage: Eukaryota; Metazoa; Chordata; Mammalia; Primates; Hominidae
Description: lincRNA
Source: RNAcentral
CAGAUGGGGUUUGCAGGAGCAAUGGCUGUAGGGACACUAAGAUUUCACCCUCCAGAAGACAGCAUCUUCCUGUGUCAUGGCUAGAUCACCAGCUACCCACAGACAGCCUGAACUCCAAUUGUCUUCCUGCAUAUGUGCCUUUAAAAGAACUUUUCACAUGUAGAGGAGCCUUUAGAAUGAAGCCUUGAGUAUGAGGGGCAGACUCCCCUCAUCCAACCACCACCUGACUCUGUGUGAACCUGGAACUGUUAGAAUGUCUGUGCUGUGAUAAAAGGUCAUCUCCCUUCAAUGUUGUGAUACAGACCUCAAACCUACAAACAUGAGGAAUUUCUACCUCUAGGUUAACUGGUUACCCACUGUACAAGACAAGUUACACACAGUCCAGGAGGCGGAGUUUCUGAGAUAUCUAGAAACAGCUUAGAGGCAAAAUGACAAAACAAAGCAGCAACAACAAAUAAAACCAA